Molecule: ribosomal RNA, 253 nt
Filed under: uncultured bacterium
Lineage: Bacteria
Description: partial 16S ribosomal RNA
Rfam family: Bacterial small subunit ribosomal RNA
Source: RNAcentral
UACGGAGGGUGCGAGCGUUGUUCGGAAUCACUGGGCUUAAAGCGUGUGUAGGCGGAUGCCUAAGUACCUUGUGAAAUCCCACGGCUCACCCGUGGAACCGCUGGGUAUACUGGGCAUCUUGGGCCAUUCAGGGGCAACUGGAACAAGCGGUGGAGCGGUGAAAUGCGUAGAUAUCGCUUGGAACGCCGACGGUGAAAACAGGUUGCUGGGAAUGUGCCGACGCUGAGACACGAAAGCCAGGGGAGCAAACGGG